Molecule: ribosomal RNA, 216 nt
Filed under: Streptomyces sp. XY431
Lineage: Bacteria; Bacillati; Actinomycetota; Actinomycetes; Kitasatosporales; Streptomycetaceae
Description: partial 23S ribosomal RNA
Rfam family: Bacterial large subunit ribosomal RNA
Source: RNAcentral
ACCAAGUCUGUACUAGGUGAGCGAUGGGGUGACGCAGGAAGGUAGUCCAGCCCGGGCGGUGGUUGUCCCGGGGUAAGGGUGUAGGGCGUUGUGUAGGCAAAUCCGCACAACAUGAGCCUGAGACCUGAUGCCGAGCCGAUUGUGGUGAAGUGGAUGAUCCUAUGCUGUCGAGAAAAGCCUCUAGCGAGUUUCAUGGCGGCCCGUACCCCAAACCGA